GGAUUGGGAUAUUCCGACUCCUUAAGGGCCUGGCGCACAUAAGGUGUGACCUUUUCAUUCCCGUUGUUAUGGAGGGCCACAUCUGCCAGAGCCUGGAGUCUGCGAAGGCCGGGACCCGGUUCCCCGGCCCACAGUGGGGGUGUGCAAACCCGAGAGAACUGGGUUGCAAAUUCGUGAAGAAUCAGCAUCAUGUUUGGCAGCUGAGUAUUGGAGCCAGGAGCCUGCCAUGAGGUUUUGAGAACAGAGUGCUGUUUUAGAGCUGGCAGCAGCAUCUCAGCCCAAGAGAAGGUAAGCCUUGAGCUGGCCAAUGAUCCCUUCAACCCCAUAGUGGAAUGAAUAAACAGCUGAUCUUGUUAAAACUCGCUUCAA
RNAcentral lists this long non-coding RNA (369 nucleotides) under Homo sapiens (human). RNAcentral describes it as "non-protein coding LRRC75A-AS1:31". Lineage: Eukaryota; Metazoa; Chordata; Mammalia; Primates; Hominidae. The record is from RNAcentral.